CCAAAACUUGCAGCUCCGCGUCGCUGGUGACUUCUCCUGCUGCUGCUCUUUAUGUUUUCCUCCAACAAGAGUCCGAAUGAGACUAUCCGGUACUUUUCGACCCAGUUUUGUCUCUAUAUCCUUCAACUCGGGAAGAACGUUGCUUUCCUCCUCCAUUGUGUGUUGUCGGGAAGAUUACACGUUCUGUGUGGAUGAUUUGAAGCUGGCAGUUGAGCAAAUUAUACAGCGCGAGCUCGGAGAUAUACUCCCGGUGAUUGGUUGAGUAGAGGCGCGCGAGCUGUAUCCGAAGAGGAGCGGAAAGUUGCAAGAAGCGCGUGCCGCCUGUAACUUUAUUCAAGCAACGCACAGAAUAAAGUGUCGGGCCAGAAACACUCAACGCUGUUACACCGACAGACCUCCCAUUCAAGAGUCCCGACCAGUGGUGAGACACUUUAACGAGAACGUGCUCUUUGGACCCUCCCAUUGAUGAAACCGGACACCAGACAGAUGGUUCCCAGGGUGUCAUAGUCCUCUACGCUCUCACAGACCACCCUCCACUGGGAGAAAAUGGAGUUGGCACUAAGGGAAUUCAUGUCGAAGCUGCUCCUGGCUCCCAUCAGGUCAUCUGUGCAGAUGUCACAUGUGUCUCCACCGAUGGCAAAGUUCCAGUAGGGAAGGGCGAAUGAUGGGUUCUGCAGCAUCUCCUGGUGUACUCACCAACAGAAACCCUCUGAUCACAGUUGAAUCCCGUCCAGCCGUGUCUGCAUUGGCCGCAGUCAAACCCACCGAAGUUGUUGUUACACUGACAGGUCCGGUUGAAGAAACGGAUGGGCCAUAGUUCCCGAUCGUCCUGUCCAUCAUGCGGGUACUGCGGGCCGUGCGGGCUCGCAUCCACGGAGAUGAACACGCACUGUCCUCGCCCGGUGCUGACGCUGCACGGGUCGUUGUUGAGUCCAUUGGGCGAUGGGCAGCACGUUCCGCUCCUGAGUGCUUCGGGUGUCACACACUCGCGAGGGAACUGGGCGCUCACCACCGCCGCGCCCACAAGAACCAAAAAGCAGCACCGGAACAUUAUCCAAACUUUUACGCACGACCGAGUCACUUUGACCUACUGUUUAUACACCUCAACUACCUCUUAAACCAAAAGUAUCACUCAACACAUUAAAUAUCACUUUCUCCUUCCACUAGUUAUGAGAACAACUUCCACUCCACUGUGUCCAGACCCCUGCUUCUAUUUCCCCCGAACCAGUGGAGCGUCGUUCUUAAAUACCGGAUUAGCGCAUGACUAGGCUACCCGGAUUUUCUGACUCCCGCGUGAUGCCAUCACAUAACAUCAUAUUUCCUACUGGGGAUAGAAAGAGAGAGAGAGAGAGAGGGUAUUGGGAUCCGUCAUGCACUGCAUUUUUAUUCCAAAAAAAUCCAUUUGACUUUGUAGUCCAACAUUACAUUUGAGGAAGUGUGAAACAUUUCUAAAUUCUGUCACAUUAGAAUACAAACUGUGAUAAAUGGGCAGGUCUUUCUAUAGACUUGAACGCAUGUGGACUGUAGCUGUUCAGUCAGCCCUUUAUGUUGAAAAACUGACGUUAUGGAGUUAUAGACUCAUACAAAUGUAGGCCCUGGUUCUCAAAUUAUAGAGCAAAAAUAAAUAUUGUUCCCACUGCAAUCAAUCUCAGAAAUAAAAUUAUGAAAUAAA
Molecule: long non-coding RNA, 1672 nt
Organism: Notolabrus celidotus (New Zealand spotty)
Lineage: Eukaryota; Metazoa; Chordata; Actinopteri; Labriformes; Labridae
Exons: 3
Source: RefSeq, a predicted model, not a curated record